This 199-nucleotide long non-coding RNA is filed under the name Gossypium barbadense (sea-island cotton). RNAcentral's name for it is "long non-coding RNA (GBAR_LNC007264)". The record is from RNAcentral. Lineage: Eukaryota; Viridiplantae; Streptophyta; Magnoliopsida; Malvales; Malvaceae.
CGGAUACUUUUAAAAAUACUUGAUCACCAAAUUGAAACUAAAAUAUCUUUUCAUUUCAAAUCCGCAUAAGAAUUCUGUCUAUCAAAAGCAGCCCUCAAACAAUUGCGAACCACCUUAACUUUUUCCUCGGUCUCUUUAACUAAGUCAACCCUGUGAAUUUGACUCUCUCUAAGCUCGGUCCAAUAUAAGGGCGUCCGGC